Molecule: long non-coding RNA, 2237 nt
Filed under: Mus musculus (house mouse)
Lineage: Eukaryota; Metazoa; Chordata; Mammalia; Rodentia; Muridae
Description: predicted gene, 26770
Source: RNAcentral
AGAUCCGGGAGCAGCCCCCCGGGGUUGGGUCGGAAGAGUCUGCUGCUCCAUUCCACCGCUCCGGGACUGGCCCCCACAGAGCGAUCCCCAGCACCCCUCUGUGGCACCGAGAACAUCCAGGCUGCUGCCUUGGGUUUUCUACUCUUUAUCACCUGAAGCCUCAGCAUCUGACCACCGACUCUGGGAUAGCCGAGGCCUUCAGCCUCCCAAACCAGCCUUUGCCCAAAGCCCGACUGAGGGAUCCCUACCUGGGGACCUUCAGCAAAUGUCCUUAUUUAGUGAGGGUAGCAGCUAAGCUGUCCUCUCUGCAGUAAAUCAUGCCUCCAGCCAUCAAUGCCUUUGUGGCUUUGGUCCCUAUAGGACUUUAUGACCAGAACUAUAGCAUAUAAACUUAAUUAGUAAGGCCAAAGUCACACUGAUGUUGAAUCCAAAAAUUCACUUAAAAAAUAAUGUAUUUAUUUUGAGACAGGAUUUCACUAUACUAUCCUCGGUUGGUCUGGAACUCUGAGAUCCUACUGCCUCUGUCACCCUAGUGCUAGAAUUAAAGGCAUGUGCCAUCGUGCCCUAGGCUAUUAUGUGUAUGUUUCACCUAUGUGUAUGUCUGCAUAUCAUAUGCAUCCCUGGUGCCCAAGGCUGUCAGAUACCCCGGAACUGGAGUUACAGAUGGUUGUGAGUCACCAUGUGGGUGCUGGGAAUAGAACUCGCGCCUCCGGGCAUCCAGGGCUCAUAACUGCUGAGCCACCUCUCCAGGUCCCAGAAAUUAAUUUUUGAAAACUAGGGAAUAUGAUACCUGCACACAUAGGCUAGGAAAGCAUUGCACUCACUUAGCCCCUCUCCCUGUGGGACUCUGGAUUGCUCCUUUGUGUGUGUGUGUGUGUGUGUGCUACAAAUCUUCACUCAUAAGCUCUGCUUGGUCUAGAAAGGGCUAGUGCUAAAUGAGUAGGGUUGAAAGAGAUGCUAUUUGAAUGAGUAAGAGGACCACUGAGACAGGCACAUCCACACUACCCACACUAGAGUGUGAGCUUCCACUUUAUGUACACAUAGGAUAAGUUACUGAUAGGAAUCCAUUUCUCCACCACAUGUGAUAGCGUCAUAUUUCUUCCACUGUAAACACAUCUCAAAACACAAACCUAAAGUACUCAUCCGUCCCCUAGCUCUCUGACCCCAUCGUAUUCACCAACACAGGCCUGGCUUGGGACCCUUUGAGCCAAGGCUGUCAACCAUUAAAAACCAGAGCUCUCUCUUGAUUUUCUCCAGUCGCUGAGCCUCACACUCGGUACCAACAGCGUGAGAUGAAUUAGUUCGAGGCAGAAGACUAAUAAGCAUAGACCUUUUAUAGAUGGGCACGAGGCUGCAUUACUGACAACGGCUGGGUUCUCUAAAAACUCGGCAGCCAUUUAUUUACAAACGCUGUGAACAGUACAAGAAACGUCAGAGGUCUAAACAGUUAAUGUGAGAAAAAUACCAACAGUUCAUGACACUAAAUUCAACGGUUCCUGGUGCGAGGCGGAACCCUAGAAACCGAACUCCGACUCUGGCUAAGUGGUCUUCCUAUUGCUGUUCGUCCCCUUUCAUCCUUUCAAACCAGGAUGACUUGCGAAACCUCCCCACAGCAGCUCCGGGAAGAACUGAAGCUCUGCGGUCCUGUCAGAUCUUCACAAGGAACUGGCUUCCAUCCAGCUUCCCCUUCUCCUUAAGAAUUGUGAGGACUCGCUACAAUACAGGACAGACACCCAUCCAGCUAUGUGGUAUGACAAGAAGGCAAGAGACCUGGGCCAGCUAUCCAAUCGCUCUGCCCUUCAGGGUGCGCCCGAGGAAGAGAGGAGACAAGGCCUCUCUCAUCACCACUACACUGCUAUAGCUUGUUUAACUCCCCGUCCUUAAACUUCCUGAGAACAGGUCGGAAGGAUCCUCAGGAGGGCAGGGACAGACUGACUGUCAACAACGCCUGGCUGAGGGAGGGCCUGGCAGGAAGGUCUUCAGUGAAUAAUGAACGGCAGCCCCAUGGAAGUGACUGUUGGGAUCUAAUGCCCGUGUUUAUUCACUCAAUGCUUACGGAUUUCUUUUGUAGACAGUUUCACCAUGAAGACCAGGCUGGCCUUUACCUGGAGAUCCUUCUGCUGCAGCCUCCCAGUGCUGGAUUUGCAUGGAUUAGCAUGACAUUGUGGAAGGAGUUUUCUCCACUAAGGUUCAGUAACUCAUAGAAUACCUAGUACUUGUCAUAUAAAAUGCAAGAA